Molecule: long non-coding RNA, 2253 nt
Filed under: Carassius auratus (goldfish)
Lineage: Eukaryota; Metazoa; Chordata; Actinopteri; Cypriniformes; Cyprinidae
Description: lncRNA (ENSCARG00000005565.1)
Source: RNAcentral
CAAAUAGUUUGAUUAUAUAAAUAAUAAUAAAAAAAAAGAGAUUUAUAAAUGUGAAAAAGGUUGCAAUAAAGUAAUAUAAUACUAGAAUAUUUAAUGCAUACACACACAACAAAACUAGGCUGAGAGUUUUAAAGCCAGGGAGAAAAAGACACGCAGGUAAACAGAUUUAUGAAAUAUUCCUUUAUUUGUAGUUUGUAAAGGUCCAAUCGAUUUCAGUAGGAUAUAGCCUACUUAUCUCUCUCGUUUUUUUUUGAUUGGAGGAGUGGCCAGCGUGGUUAUACUGCUUUUUGUCUACUACUAUAAUGGAUUUUAAGAAUGGACGUUGAAUUCAAAACCUUCCACAGACUCAAAAAAUGUAUUCACAAAUAAAAAAAAAUGACUUUCUAAAUUUGAAGUGGUCCUCACAAUAUGAGAAGUUCAUGAAUCAGUCAUAUCAUGUUUUGCAUGAAAUAUUUCGAUAUCAACUAGUUUGUAUGGGUUAAAGGUACCAUUGAGGUUUGAGCUUAGCAAGUGCCAUCCCUGCUAUAUAUAAACCACUGAGUCUAUGAGAUGUUCUUAUUAAUAGAGUGAAACCAACGUGAUUGUGUUGGUGCUUGAUCAUGUACACUAUCCACCGGAAAUGUUACAGCUGUCACUCAUCUUACAGCUCUCACAUAUUUAGUGAUGAGGUAAAGUUAGUUUUUCACUUAUGACUUUCCUUUUCAUCCCAACCUUAACUGGUAAGGGCGGUAGCAGAUAAUAAUGUUUGCCCUGCCUUCCUUAUCUUUCAAAUACACUCUUUUUUUACGUGACUCUUGUAGCAAACCAACUAUUGCAAACAUUAAGAUAUCCAUCAUUUGCAUGCACAACUUAGGGAUUCAUAAUCACUGAUGAAUGUAUUUGGUAGAAAGAAGCAAACAACAGUUUUAGUGAGAGGAGAGGAAGCUCAGCAGGAGGGGCUUCAGGGAGGGAAGCAUGAGAUGUCACUCAACAGAAUCACACCUUUGGCGUUCGCUGUAGUGCAGGGCCGGUGUUAUGUGCAGAUGAGCAUUCGAAGCUUGGAAACCUUUUAGAGGUGGCAAAGCAAUGCAGAGGUGACAGGUAAGAGAUCCUCGUGGGUUUAAAACUUUGUUUGCUUUGUUCAGUUACCAUAAAGAGUUUGGAAAUGAGAGUUUUGAAACUGCCACAUCAUGUUUACUCUGAUAGUAUAGUAGUUUUGGAGAUCAAAUGCCGUGACAUGUAUUCAUGUAACUAAUAAUGAUGGAAGUGUACUGUAGCAUUCCUUAUUGAUUUAACUAUUGGUCAGUUUAAAAAAAUAGACUUUGUGUGUAACCUACAUUAUUUAUUGUUUUUUAUUUUUUAUUUUGGGGGGGGGGGGUUGUAAGUUUUUUAUCAUGACAAACACAAAUAUAUAUAUCUAUAAGCACAUCAGUCAGCUAGCCUGCUAUUUGUGAAUAUAGUGUGACUUCACAAAUGCUUGAAAGACUAAAAGUGUGUGUUUUGCACUUUUUAGUUUUUCAACUGCUUUUAUUCAUUAAAUUUUAAAGGAUAGUCAAAUAAUAAUUUUAAGCCCCAGAAAUUUUGGAAGUUAGAUCUUUCUGUCCUUUAAUUCUUUUCAGCUUGGGGUAAAUGAGUUUGUUCUGCUUUGGCUGAAAUGUUUCCCAAGAACCAUUUAAACCAAAUAUAGGACAGGCAAAUUGUAGGAUGAGAAUAGCAUACCAUACUUACAUAAAUCACCCUUAAAUCAGACAAACAAAUUCUAAUUUUAGCCUCAGGAAGUGGAUGGGUUUCACUCUAUUCGUUUUAAUAGAGCACUUCCUCGUCAGCUGGAGGGUUACCAUAGUGAUCCAGCCCAGAUUGAGUGCAGCAUGGUUUCUGUGGUAGCAUAAAACGAAACGCUGAUGAUGUUUCGGUAUGUGUUGAGUUCAUAAAAUAAAAAAAACUACAGAGGAUGCCACUACGGAAACUGAAAUGCAAUUUAACAUCUUCUCAUUUAAAGAUAAAUUUUGUGAACUAAUAUUAACUAUACACUUUUCUUGGAAUGUAAAAACAACAACAACAACAAAAAAAUUGUUAUAUAUAUGCGUUGUUAAACUCACUAAAGGGAGGAAUCCCGUAUGCCAAAAAAAUAAAUAAGUAAUUAAUUAAUUAAUUAUAAAUUUAAUAAAAAAAUCAUACACAGUGAAGCUCAUUGAAAUAUACUUUGAAAUAAAAGAUAUAUUUACUUUCAAACUUCAUAUACCAAAAUAUAUUUCUAAAUAUUUUUUGUGGCAA